Molecule: ribosomal RNA, 546 nt
Filed under: uncultured Cryptophyta
Lineage: Eukaryota; Cryptophyceae
Description: SSU rRNA
Rfam family: Eukaryotic small subunit ribosomal RNA
Source: RNAcentral
GCGUAUAUUAAAGUUGUUGCAGUUAAAAAGCUCGUAGUCGGAUGUCGGGUUCGGGGUGGCUGUCGGCCUAGGUCGGAUGGCCGUUCCGGAUCUUUCUGCCUGGGGAUCCUAUUCUUCUUAACCGAGGGGUAGUGGGACGCAGGCCGUUUACUUUGAAAAAAUUAGAGUGUUCAAAGCAGGCUUUGUCUUGAAUACAUUAGCAUGGAAUAAUGGAAUAGGACUUUGGUCUUAUUUGUUGGUUUAUGGGACCGAAGUAAUGAUUAACAGGGACAGUUGGGGCCGUUUAUAUUUCGUUGUCAGAGGUGAAAUUCUUGGAUUUACGAAAGAUAAACUUCUGCGAAAGCAUUCGGCAAGGAUGUUUUCAUUGAUCAAGAACGAAAGUUAGGGGAUCGAAGACGAUCAGAUACCGUCGUAGUCUUAACCAUAAACUAUGCCGACUAGGGAUCAGUGGAUGUCAAUUUGCGACUCCAUUGGCACCUUGUGAGAAAUCAAAGUUUUUGGGUUCCGGGGGGAGUAUGGUCGCAAGGCUGAAACUUAAAGGAAUUG